This 292-nucleotide ribosomal RNA is filed under the name uncultured bacterium. Its description in RNAcentral is "partial 16S ribosomal RNA". It matches the Rfam family "Bacterial small subunit ribosomal RNA", at positions 505 to 796 of the family's 1533-position model. The record is from RNAcentral.
GUGUCAGCCGCCGCGGUAAUACGUAGGUGGCGAGCGUUGUCCGGAUUUAUUGGGCGUAAAGAGCCCGCAGGCGGUUUGUUAAGUUUCAGGUGAAAUCUCCUGGCUCAACUGGGAGGGGUCCUGGAAAACUGGCAGACUUGAGGCAGGGAGAGGGAUGUGGAAUUCCCGGUGUAGUGGUGAAAUGCGUAGAUAUCGGGAGGAACACCAGUGGCGAAGGCGGCAUCCUGGCCCUGUCCUGACGCUCAGGGGCGAAAGCGUGGGGAGCAAACCGGAUUAGAAACCCUUGUAGUCC